AUACCUUUCUCGACAUUUUGGCAAAGACUCAAGUUUGACGUCUGUUUUUAUCAGUUUAAUAUCUGAUAUAUGAGCCAUCAUCUCACACAAUAUUGAUUUUUUUUUUCAUAGGGGAGUUCCCAUAACAAUAACUUGCUAUGGGGGUUGUCCAACAUCUCCCUUUCCUUACACUACUGCAAGGGCUUGAUGCACCUACC
Papaver somniferum (opium poppy) is the source of this 197-nucleotide small nuclear RNA. RefSeq annotates it as U2 spliceosomal RNA. The record is from RefSeq and is a predicted model, not a curated record. Lineage: Eukaryota; Viridiplantae; Streptophyta; Magnoliopsida; Ranunculales; Papaveraceae. The transcript has a single exon.